This 450-nucleotide ribosomal RNA is filed under the name uncultured bacterium. RNAcentral describes it as "partial 16S ribosomal RNA". It matches the Rfam family "Bacterial small subunit ribosomal RNA", at positions 354 to 796 of the family's 1533-position model. The record is from RNAcentral.
GUGGGGAAUAUUGGACAAUGGGCGAAAGCCUGAUCCAGCCAUGCCGCGUGUGUGAAGAAGGUCUUCGGAUUGUAAAGCACUUUAAGUUGGGAGGAAGGGCAGUAAGCUAAUACCUUGCUGUUUUGACGUUACCGACAGAAUAAGCACCGGCUAACUCUGUGCCAGCAGCCGCGGUAAUACAGAGGGUGCAAGCGUUAAUCGGAAUUACUGGGCGUAAAGCGCGCGUAGGUGGUUCGUUAAGUUGGAUGUGAAAGCCCCGGGCUCAACCUGGGAACUGCAUCCAAAACUGGCGAGCUAGAGUACGGUAGAGGGUGGUGGAAUUUCCUGUGUAGCGGUGAAAUGCGUAGAUAUAGGAAGGAACACCAGUGGCGAAGGCGACCACCUGGACUGAUACUGACACUGAGGUGCGAAAGCGUGGGGAGCAAACAGGAUUAGAUACCCUAGUAGUCC